UACGGAGGGGGCAAGCGUUAUUCGGAAUCAUUGGGCGUAAAGGGCGCGUAGGCGGCCAUCUAAGUCAGACGUGAAAUCCCCCGGCUUAACCUGGGAACUGCGUCUGAUACUGGAAGGCUUGAGUAUGGGAGAGGGAUGUAGAAUUCCAGGUGUAGCGGUGAAAUGCGUAGAUAUCUGGAGGAAUACCGGUGGCGAAGGCGGCAUCCUGGACCAUUACUGACGCUGAGGCGCGAAAGCUAGGGGAGCAAACGGG
Molecule: ribosomal RNA, 253 nt
Filed under: uncultured bacterium
Lineage: Bacteria
Description: partial 16S ribosomal RNA
Rfam family: Bacterial small subunit ribosomal RNA
Source: RNAcentral